Molecule: non-coding RNA, 59 nt
Organism: Salmo salar (Atlantic salmon)
Lineage: Eukaryota; Metazoa; Chordata; Actinopteri; Salmoniformes; Salmonidae
Source: Rfam
GGCUCAAGCUUGGUAGAGCAUGGUGUUUGCAACGCCAGGGUUGUGGGUUCGAUUCCCAC